CUGGCUCAGGAUGAACGCUAGCUACAGGCUUAACACAUGCAAGUCGAGGGGCAGCAGAUCGAAAGCUUGCUUUUGAUGCUAGGCGACCGGCGCACGGGUGAGUAACGCGUAUCCAACCUUCCCUAUAGUAGAGAAUAGCCCGGCGAAAGUCGGAUUAAUGCUCUAUGUUGAUUUAGAGGACAUCUGAAGAAUACCAAAGGUUUACCGCUAUAGGAUGGGGAUGCGUCUGAUUAGGUAGUAGGCGGGGUAACGGCCCACCUAGCCGACGAUCAUAGGGGUUCUGAGAGGAAGGUCCCCCACAUUGGAACUGAGACACGGUCCAAACUCCUACGGGAGGCAGCAGUGAGGAAUAUUGGUCAAUGGACGGAAGUCUGAACCAGCCAAGUAGCCGUGCAGGAUGACGGCCCUAUGGGUUGUAAACUGCUUUUAUAUAGGGAUAAAGUCGGGGACGUGUCCCCGUUUGUAGGUACUAUAUGAAUAAGGACCGGCUAAUUCCGUGCCAGCAGCCGC
RNAcentral lists this ribosomal RNA (510 nucleotides) under uncultured bacterium. RNAcentral's name for it is "bacterial SSU rRNA". It matches the Rfam family "Bacterial small subunit ribosomal RNA", at positions 19 to 518 of the family's 1533-position model. The record is from RNAcentral.